This 689-nucleotide ribosomal RNA is filed under the name uncultured bacterium. RNAcentral's name for it is "bacterial SSU rRNA". It matches the Rfam family "Bacterial small subunit ribosomal RNA", at positions 141 to 850 of the family's 1533-position model. The record is from RNAcentral.
GGAUAACAUACCGAAAGGUAUGCUAAUACGGGAUAAUAUAUUUGAGAGGUAUCUCUUAAAUAUCAAAGGUGAGCCAGUACAGGAUGGACCCGCGUCUGAUUAGCUAGUUGGUAAGGUAACGGCUUACCAAGGCGACGAUCAGUAGCCGACCUGAGAGGGUGAUCGGCCACAUUGGAACUGAGACACGGUCCAAACUCCUACGGGAGGCAGCAGUGGGGAAUAUUGCACAAUGGGCGAAAGCCUGAUGCAGCAACGCCGCGUGAGUGAUGAAGGCCUUCGGGUCGUAAAACUCUGUCCUCAAGGAAGAUAAUGACGGUACUUGAGGAGGAAGCCCCGGCUAACUACGUGCCAGCAGCCGCGGUAAUACGUAGGGGGCUAGCGUUAUCCGGAUUUACUGGGCGUAAAGGGUGCGUAGGCGGUCUUUCAAGUCAGGAGUGAAAGGCUACGGCUCAACCGUAGUAAGCUCUUGAAACUGGGAGACUUGAGUGCAGGAGAGGAGAGUGGAAUUCCUAGUGUAGCGGUGAAAUGCGUAGAUAUUAGGAGGAACACCAGUUGCGAAGGCGGCUCUCUGGACUGUAACUGACGCUGAGGCACGAAAGCGUGGGGAGCAAACAGGAUUAGAUACCCUGGUAGUCCACGCUGUAAACGAUGAAUAGUAGGUGUCGGGGGUUACCCCCUUCGGUGCCGCA